Molecule: long non-coding RNA, 1271 nt
Filed under: Coturnix japonica (Japanese quail)
Lineage: Eukaryota; Metazoa; Chordata; Aves; Galliformes; Phasianidae
Description: lncRNA (ENSCJPG00005017721.1)
Source: RNAcentral
GACACUUAGCUCUGAGACAUUUUGAAAAUGUAAGCUGUACUCUAAUUUUUGUUGUUUAACUUUUCAGGAUCUCGGCAGUGUUAAACCCUGGGGAACUGGGACAUAUACAUACAGCCCAAGAAACAUGACAGAACAAGUAAGAAAGGAGGAAAGAAGGAAAAGGGAGGAAAAAGGACAAGAAGAGAAUAUAGAAAAGAAUACAGGAAAAAAGCACCAGAAAAAUAAAUAAAUAAAUAAAUAAAUGGGAAGAACAGAACAGAGAAGAAAACAAUGAGACAAGAGGGAGAAAAAGAAAGAAAAAAAAAAAAAGAAGAAGAAAAAGAAGAAGAAGAAGAAGAAGAAGGAAAGAAACUUGGAAAAAGACAAUUCCAGUAUACUUUCUGAAAGGAUCUUCAGUAAAAGACUAAUAAUCCAUAUGCUGCAACAGUACUGUCAGUCAGAGGAAGAAGGCUCUGAAAUGAAGUGGGAAGCUACACACAUCAGGACCACCAACGAGAAAGGUGAAGACAGCCCUGAAGCACACACAUCCAACAGAAUGACCGUGAUAUGGACUACAGUUCUUCACUCUGACAGCAUCAGAAGAAAGAAGAAACUGUGAUGAAUUCACCCUGUGUCCUCUACCACCUACCCCCUUUAACCCCUGCCUUAUAUCCUCAUCCUGCACCUCUGGAAGCUCAUUUGUUAGUGCAGUGCCAUGGGUUCUCUUAAUGACUCAACUCAGGGUGCUGGUUGGAGGCUGCUGGGUGCUCCCUCCAUAUAAUAUGUGUCCUAGCCCAGGCUGAGGGGGCAAAUCUGCUCCCUCUAGACUCUGUAUCCAUGUGAGCAGAAUGUCAAAACAUUUGUUGAAAAAGUUUGUGAAGAAUUGCUGCUGAGUUAUUCAGAGCAGGCUACUGAUGAUAAGACCAUGAAUGGGAACAAAAUACCUCACUGGCACAGCACAAGAAUUAAUCAUCUUGAAUCAUAAUAAUUUGUCAUAGGAAAAGAAAAAAACAAAACACUGAGAUUCAAAGGCAGUUUUACAGGAGUGCUUAUCCUGACAGAAGUGGCACGUGGAGCUGUGGGUAUUAUAGCAAGCAGCAUGGGAGGUGCCAGCCUAUGGGAAAUGUGCACACAACUAUCAGAAGGGCAUGCACUAAAAAGUAAAACAUUCAGAUGAACUUUCCAGCCAAACAUAGGCAGUAUUGUAGCUGAUGGCAAGUGUUUACCUGGCAGGAAAGCAGUAUGUGCUACUUGACGUUGGACAGUGAUGCACAAACCAAUGCAGUACAACA